Molecule: ribosomal RNA, 464 nt
Filed under: uncultured bacterium
Lineage: Bacteria
Description: bacterial SSU rRNA
Rfam family: Bacterial small subunit ribosomal RNA
Source: RNAcentral
AUUGAACGCUGGCGGCAUGCCUUACACAUGCAAGUCGAACGGUAACAGGUCUUCGGAUGCUGACGAGUGGCGAACGGGUGAGUAAUACAUCGGAACGUGCCCAAUCGUGGGGGAUAACGCAGCGAAAGCUGUGCUAAUACCGCAUAAGAUCUACGGAUGAAAGCGGGGGAUCGCAAGACCUCGCGCGAGUGGAGCGGCCGAUGGCAGAUUAGGUAGUUGGUGAGGUAAAGGCUCACCAAGCCUGCGAUCUGUAGCUGGUCUGAGAGGACGACCAGCCACACUGGAACUGAGACACGGUCCAGACUCCUACGGGAGGCAGCAGUGGGGAAUUUUGGACAAUGGGCGCAAGCCUGAUCCAGCAAUGCCGCGUGCAGGAUGAAGGCCUUUGGGUUGUAAACUGCUUUUGUUACGGAACGAAACGGGUGAGCUCUAAUACAGUUUGCUAAUGACGGUACCGUAAGAAU